This 1416-nucleotide ribosomal RNA is filed under the name Kineococcus sp. Its description in RNAcentral is "bacterial SSU rRNA". It matches the Rfam family "Bacterial small subunit ribosomal RNA". Lineage: Bacteria; Bacillati; Actinomycetota; Actinomycetes; Kineosporiales; Kineosporiaceae. The record is from RNAcentral.
GGGGUACGGGAUAGCUAUAGCGUGUAAGUGGUACGCUGGACCCCUUCCGGGGGGACCCGUGGCGAACGGGUGAGUAACACGUGAGCAACCUGCCCCUGGCUCUGGGACAACCACUGGAAACGGUGGCUAAUACCGGAUACGACUCAUCACCGCAUGGUGUGUGGGUGGAAAGUUUUUCGGCUGGGGAUGGGCUCGCGGCCUAUCAGCUUGUUGGUGGGGUAAUGGCCCACCAAGGCGACGACGGGUAGCCGGCCUGAGAGGGCGACCGGCCACACUGGGACUGAGACACGGCCCAGACUCCUACGGGAGGCAGCAGUGGGGAAUAUUGCACAAUGGGCGAAAGCCUGAUGCAGCGACGCCGCGUGAGGGAUGACGGCCUUCGGGUUGUAAACCUCUUUCAGCUCCGAAGAAGCGAAAGUGACGGUAGGAGCAGAAGAAGCACCGGCUAACUACGUGCCAGCAGCCGCGGUAAUACGUAGGGUGCAAGCGUUGUCCGGAAUUAUUGGGCGUAAAGAGCUCGUAGGCGGUGUGUCGCGUCUGCUGUGAAAACUCAGGGCUCAACUCUGAGCUUGCAGUGGGUACGGGCACACUUGAGUGCUGUAGGGGAGACUGGAAUUCCUGGUGUAGCGGUGAAAUGCGCAGAUAUCAGGAGGAACACCGGUGGCGAAGGCGGGUCUCUGGGCAGUUACUGACGCUGAGGAGCGAAAGCAUGGGGAGCGAACAGGAUUAGAUACCCUGGUAGUCCAUGCCGUAAACGUUGGGCGCUAGGUGUGGGGUCCAUUCCACGGAUUCCGUGCCGCAGCUAACGCAUUAAGCGCCCCGCCUGGGGGAGUACGGCCGCAAGGCUAAAACUCAAAGGAAUUGACGGGGGCCCGCCCAAGCGGCGGAGCAUGGCGGAUUAAUUCGAUGCAACCCGAAAAACCUUACCAAGGCUUGACAUGCGCGGUGGAAUCCCAGAGAUGGGGUGUCAUUUAGUUGGUCGCGUACAGGUGGUGCAUGGUUGUCGUCAGCUCGUGUCGUGAGAUGUUGGGUUAAGUCCCGCAACGAGCGCAACCCUCGUUCCAUGUUGCCAGCACGUGAUGGUGGGGACUCAUGGGAGACUGCCGGGGUCAACUCGGAGGAAGGUGGGGAUGACGUCAAAUCAUCAUGCCCCUUAUGUCUUGGGCUUCACGCAUGCUACAAUGGCCAGUACAGAGGGCUGCGAUACCGUGAGGUGGAGCGAAUCCCAAAAAGCUGGUCUCAGUUCGGAUCGGGGUCUGCAACUCGACCCCGUGAAGUCGGAGUCGCUAGUAAUCGCAGAUCAGCAACGAUGCGGUGAAUACGUUCCCGGGCCUUGUACACACCGCCCGAUAUGUCGUGAAAGUCGGUCACAUCGGGUUCCAGGGCCUCACUAUAAGGGACACAGCUCCGUAUAGG